CCUACGGGUGGCAGCAGUGGGGAAUAUUGGACAAUGGCGGGAACCCUGAUCCAGCGACGCCGCGUGAGGGAAGAAGUAUUUAGGUGUGUAAAGCUCUAUCAGCAGGGAAGAAAGAAAUGACGGUACCUGACUGAGAAGCCCCGGCUAACUACGUGCCAGCAGCCGCGGUAAUACGUAGGUGGCAAGCAUUAUCCGGAUUUACUGGGGGGAAGGGGGGCUUGGACGGCGAUGCAAGUCUGAAGUGAAAGUCGGGGGCCCAACCCCCGGACUGCUUUGGAAACUGUAUGGCUGGAGUGCAGGAGAGGUAAGUGGAAUUCCUAGUGUAGCGGUGAAAUGCGUAGAUAUGAGGAGGAACACCAGUGGCGAAGGCGGCUUACUGGACUGUAACUGACGUUGAGGCUCGAAAGCGUGGGGAGCAAACAGGAUUAGAUACCCUAGUAGUC
This 443-nucleotide ribosomal RNA is filed under the name uncultured bacterium. Its description in RNAcentral is "partial 16S ribosomal RNA". It matches the Rfam family "Bacterial small subunit ribosomal RNA", at positions 338 to 795 of the family's 1533-position model. The record is from RNAcentral.